AAGUCGUAACAAGGUUUCCGUAGGUGAACCUGCGGAAGGAUCAUUACUGAGUUCAUGCCCUUACGGGUAGAUCUCCACCCUUGAAUACAAACUCUUGUUGCUUUGGCGGGCCGCUUCGGCUACUGGCUUCGGCUGGUGAGUGCCCGCCAGAGAACCCUAAACUUUGAAUUAUAGUGUCGUCUGAGUACUAUAUAAUAGUUAAAACUUUCAACAACGGAUCUCUUGGUUCUG
RNAcentral lists this unclassified non-coding RNA (231 nucleotides) under Cistella albidolutea. Its description in RNAcentral is "partial internal transcribed spacer region". The stretch from base 1 to 46 matches the Rfam family "Eukaryotic small subunit ribosomal RNA", at positions 1786 to 1831 of the family's 1831-position model. The record is from RNAcentral. Lineage: Eukaryota; Fungi; Ascomycota; Leotiomycetes; Helotiales. RNAcentral also lists the same sequence under 1 other name.